RNAcentral lists this ribosomal RNA (253 nucleotides) under uncultured bacterium. Its description in RNAcentral is "partial 16S ribosomal RNA". It matches the Rfam family "Bacterial small subunit ribosomal RNA", at positions 524 to 776 of the family's 1533-position model. The record is from RNAcentral.
GACAGAGGGUGCAAACGUUGUUCGGAAUUACUGGGCGUAAAGAGCGCGCAGGCGGUCGUGCAAGUCGCGUGUGAAAGCCCCCGGCUCAACUGGGGAGGGUCACGCGAUACUGUUCGACUCGAAGGCAGGAGAGGGAAGCGGAAUUCCCGGUGUAGUGGUGAAAUGCGUAGAUAUCGGGAGGAACACCAGUGGCGAAGGCGGCUUCCUGGCCUGUUCUUGACGCUGAGGCGCGAAAGCUAGGGUAGCAAACGGG